UACGAAGGGGGCUAGCGUUGUUCGGAUUUACUGGGCGUAAAGCGCACGUAGGCGGAUCGUUAAGUCGGGGGUGAAAUCCUGGAGCUCAACUCCAGAACUGCCUUCGAUACUGGCGAUCUUGAGUCCGGAAGAGGUGAGUGGAACUCCUAGUGUAGAGGUGGAAUUCGUAGAUAUUAGGAAGAACACCAGUGGCGAAGGCGGCUUACUGGUCCGGUACUGACGCUGAGGUGGCGAAAAGCGUGGGGAGCAACAGG
Molecule: ribosomal RNA, 254 nt
Filed under: uncultured bacterium
Lineage: Bacteria
Description: partial 16S ribosomal RNA
Rfam family: Bacterial small subunit ribosomal RNA
Source: RNAcentral